Non-coding RNA from Drosophila virilis, 493 nucleotides. NCBI's taxonomy places the organism in Eukaryota, Metazoa, Arthropoda, Insecta, Diptera, Drosophilidae. The record is from RefSeq and is a predicted model, not a curated record.
GUCUGUCCGCAGGCAUAUGUGGGAACCGGACGGAUCGGCCUACUACUAUAAUAUAACUGCCAUAGGAUCGAUCGGCCCAAAGCUACAAUGGGAAAGUCGGCUUGGAGUUGCAAUCUUCUCACAUAUUUGCAAAAUGGAAAUAUCUGUAAGAGUAUUUCAACUUCAGAGAUAUUCUUACUUUCUCGUUAUUUGAUAAAUUUUGGUUUGUUGCUUCGCUUUGCUGCACCCUCGAAACAUUUAGCUAAAUAAAUAAAAUGCACGAAUUGUUGAUCGGCGCUCACAUUGAAAAUAUACAACAAAUAUUCAAACUAAUUGAAAUUUAUGGGCAACAGUUGAGCAGGAAAUCAAUGAAGUGUAGAUGACUGGGAAUUUUUGUUUUGAUUUGCAAUCUCUGUGGCAAGUUCGACAUGAUAAUAUUUUCAAAACAAUUAAUAAAAUUAUGGCCAAUAAAAAUACUACAGAAUUUUCUGUUUAGAAAAUUAAUACAGAAAAA